AUAAAUGCUUGGAAAAAGAAUAGUAGCAAGCGAUAGUACUUAAAGAGAGCUGAUGGUUGGUGCAAAUCAGUAGUACAUACUUGUGAAUGGGCUUUGGAGCAGCCUCAUCAAAUAUGAGGACGAAUUUACUCCCCGUUACCGGAGUACGAAAGAGCGCAUUUUUUUGCGAAUUAAGGUGGCACCACGGUUACUCGUCCUUUUU
This 202-nucleotide non-coding RNA is filed under the name Lysinibacillus xylanilyticus. RNAcentral's name for it is "T-box sequence". It matches the Rfam family "T-box leader". From Rfam's summary of the family: Uncharged tRNA acts as the effector for transcription antitermination of genes in the T-box leader family. T-boxes are found upstream of many aminoacyl-tRNA synthetase genes and some amino acid biosynthetic genes usually in Gram-positive bacteria. Lineage: Bacteria; Bacillati; Bacillota; Bacilli; Caryophanales; Bacillaceae. The record is from RNAcentral.